GGGCCCGCACAAGCGGUGGAGUAUGUGGUUUAAUUCGAUGCAACGCGAAGAACCUUACCAGGGUUUGACAUCCUGCGAAUCUCUUGGAAACAGGAGAGUGCCUUCGGGAACGCAGUGACAGGUGGUGCAUGGCUGUCGUCAGCUCGUGUCGUGAGAUGUUGGGUUAAGUCCCGCAACGAGCGCAACCCACGUCUUUAGUUACCAGCACUUCGGGUGGGAACUCUAAGGAUACUGCCAGUGACAAACUGGAGGAAGGCGGGGACGACGUCAAGUCAUCAUGGCCCUUACGACCAGGGCUACACACGUGCUACAAUGGUAGGUACAGAGGGCAGCUACACAGCGAUGUGAUGCGAAUCUCAAAAAGCCUAUCGUAGUCCAGAUUGGAGUCUGCAACUCGACUCCAUGAAGUAGGAAUCGCUAGUAAUCGCGGAUC
This 433-nucleotide ribosomal RNA is filed under the name uncultured bacterium. RNAcentral's name for it is "bacterial SSU rRNA". It matches the Rfam family "Bacterial small subunit ribosomal RNA", at positions 917 to 1350 of the family's 1533-position model. The record is from RNAcentral.